AACCACGAAUUUCCAGCCCCAACCAAAGUCAAGUGCUGAAUGUUGGGUCUCUGGUUCACUCCUCCCAGACGAAGGAAGAACUCAGCGAGAGUUCGGGAGCGACAGCUGGGAAAGCUGACUCGGGCUUCUACAGUGAAGUGGGCUCGGGGGAGAGCCACGGGAGUUGGCGAAGCGAGGCAGCCCGAGAGGAGGCAGCCGUGCGUCUCCUGAGAACGGAGCCUGCCGGCCAGGGCUGCGAGCUCGUGGGCUGCGAGCUCGUGGGCUGCGAGCGCUGCUCCACGGCGGCGGCUGCCAAGUUCCGGCCUCUUUGUCUUCUCCCCCUCCGGCCGGGUCACUCUGGGAGACGCCGUGCAGUCGGUCAAAAUGCCACAGACCCUGCCAAGGCGUCCCGAGGACUCCCUCCGGCCCACCCCUGGCCGCGUCUCUCUCAAGCUGCCUGUCAACUCAUCCCGGUCCCUGGGCCAGCCUCAACCACUCCGGUCCGGCUAAGACCAGUCUUGCCCGCCAGCAGCCCCAGUCCGGCUCUCAAGCCGGAAGUCCGAGCGGGCCACUCAGGGCACCCAAGGCGCAUGCGCGACGGCACCUCCGGCGCCUCCUCGGCGCUCCGUGGCGGGAGCGAGCGAGCCGGUGGGCGCCUCCGAGCCGCGCGCACUUCCGGCACGCGGCGCGCGGCCCCGUGACGGCUCCCCGCGCGGCGGUCUGCGGGGUUUCUGGGCGAGCCACUCGGUUGGGUGUGAGUGGGCGCCCGCAGAGGCGCCGGAAGAGAAGGUGGGAAAUCUAGGGACUCCGAGGCCGCCCCAGAAAUGAUUCACGAGCUGCUCUUGGCGCUGAGUGGGUACCCAGGGUCCAUUUUCACCUGGAACAAGCGGAGUGGCCUGCAGGUUUCCCAGGACUUCCCGUUUCUUCACCCCAGUGAGACUAGUGUCCUGAAUCGACUCUGCAGGCUUGGCACAGACUACAUUCGAUUCACUGAGUUCAUUGAGCAGUACACAGGCCAUGUGCAGCAACAGGAUCACCAUCCACCCCAGCAGGGCCAAGGUGGGCUACAUGGGAUCUACCUGAGGGCCUUCUGCACAGGGCUGGAUUCAGUUUUACAGCCUUAUCGCCAAGCACUGCUUGACCUGGAACAAGAGUUCCUGGCUGACCCACAUCUCUCCAUAUCACAUGUCAAUUACUCCUUAGAUCAGUUCCAGCUCCUUUUUCCGUCUGUGGUGGUUGUAGUGGAGCAAAUUAAAAGCCAAAAGAUUCAUGGCUGUCAGAUCCUGGAAACAGUUUACAAACAUAGCUGUGGGGGGUUGCCUCCGGUUCGAAGCGCACUGGAAAAAAUCCUGGCUGUAUGCCAUGGAGUCAUGUAUAAACAGCUCUCAGCCUGGAUGCUACAUGGACUCCUCUUGGACCAGCAUGAAGAGUUCUUUAUCAAACAGGGUCCAUCUUCUGGUAAUAUCAGUGCCCAGGCGGAAGAGGAUGAAGAGGAUCUGGGGAUUGGAGGGCUGACAGGAAAGCAGCUGAGAGAACUGCAGGACCUGCGCCUAAUUGAGGAAGAGAACAUGCUGGCCCCGUCUCUAAAGCAGUUUUCUCUGCGAGUGGAGAUUUUACCAUCCUACAUUCCAGUGAGGGUUGCUGAAAAAAUCCUCUUUGUUGGAGAAUCUGUCCAGAUGUUUGAGAAUCAAAAUGUGAACCUAACGAGGAAAGGGUCCAUCUUGAAGAACCAGGAGGACACUUUUGCUGCAGAGCUGCAUCGGCUCAAGCAGCAGCCACUCUUCAGCCUCGUGGAUUUUGAGCAGGUGGUGGAUCGAAUUCGUAGCACUGUGGCUGAGCACCUCUGGAAGCUAAUGGUAGAGGAGUCAGACUUACUGGGUCAGCUGAAGAUCAUUAAAGACUUUUACCUUCUGGGACGAGGAGAACUGUUCCAGGCCUUCAUUGACACAGCUCAACACAUGUUAAAAACACCACCCACUGCAGUGACAGAGCAUGACGUGAAUGUGGCCUUUCAACAGUCGGCACACAAGGUGCUGCUAGAUGAUGACAACCUUCUUCCUCUGCUGCACUUGACAAUCGAGUAUCAUGGAAAGGACCACAAAGCAGAUGCCACCCAGCCAAGAGAAGGGCCUUCUCGGGAAACGUCUCCCAGGGAAGCCCCUGCUUCCGGCUGGGCUGCUCUGGGUCUCUCCUACAAAGUACAGUGGCCACUGCAUAUUCUCUUCACCCCAGCUGUCUUGGAAAAGUACAAUGUUGUUUUCAAGUAUUUACUGAGUGUGCGCCGUGUCCAAGCUGAACUGCAGCACUGCUGGGCUCUUCAGAUGCAGCGUAAGCACCUCAAAUCUAACCAGACAGAUGCAGUCAAGUGGCGCCUAAGAAAUCACAUGGCCUUCUUAGUAGAUAAUCUUCAGUACUAUCUCCAGGUAGAUGUGCUGGAGUCUCAGUUCUCACAGCUUCUUCAUCAGAUCAAUUCUACGCGGGACUUUGAAAGCAUCCGAUUGGCACAUGAUCACUUCCUAAGCAAUUUGCUGGCCCAGUCCUUUAUUUUGCUGAAACCUGUGUUUCACUGCCUGAAUGAAAUCCUAGAUCUCUGUCACAGUUUUUGUUCACUGGUCAGUCAGAACCUGGGUCCACUGGAUGAGCGGGGAGCUGCCCAGCUGAGCAUUCUCGUGAAGGGCUUUAGUCGUCAGUCUUCACUCCUGUUCAAGAUUCUUUCCAGCGUUCGGAAUCACCAGAUCAACUCAGAUUUGGCUCAAUUACUGCUCCGGCUAGAUUAUAACAAGUAUUAUACCCAGGCUGGUGGAACUCUGGGCAGUUUUGGGAUGUGAAAACUGGUUCAUAAAAUGAACUGAAAGUCCUACCACGUUCUGAUGUCUAUAGCAAACCUCCCCAGUCAUCUGUCAGAUGCCUGCAGACUGGUAAAAGGAAAGGAUGCUACCUUUUCUUCUAGAAGCAGUCCAGAGAGUAAAAAUAGCCAUUGGAUGACCACUUGGCCACAACACGGAGCCCCACAAAGCUGUUUCCUGGAGAUGAGGCAUCCAAGCCAUCAGAAGAACCAGUAGCAGCCUGAAAAGGAAUCUCUGGAGAAUCACUCCGCCGCAAAGCAUUAGAACCAGCAUCCAUUCGUUUGGUAGAGUCUGGCACACGGGGCACAAUUCGAGUGAAGGACUUGUCAUCUGGUGACAUACUAGGUGAAAUGUCUUCUAUGCCCAACGGACCAGACACAACUGCAUCUCUAAAGACAGAAUGUUUCCAGAGCACUGUGCUAACUGACAUGGUGUAGAGAAGCAAGAGUCCUCUCAGCGAGUCCAGUCUCUCCACAAGACCACCACCACCACACACAUUUCUGUAAUACUGUAAGCAAAAGACACAGACCACGUAAGAACAGAACCAACAGCAGAAUGCAGCCAUGGCUCUCCCAGUUAACUAUCAGAGGAACAGAGUCAGGCAUGAUAAAUAUUCCAUUUAUUUACAGAAUUUGACAACUCGACUAGAAGACUGCCCAUCAAGCCCCAGGAAUCAUCUUGUCUUUGCCUCCCCAGUGCUAGGAUCACAGGGUGCACACUGCUCCAUCGGGCUUCUUUACAUGGGAUCUGGGGGUGGAACCCCAGCCCUCCUCAUGUUUCAACAGUGAGCACUUUACCAAUGGAGCUAUCUCCCCAACCCUCAAGUUAAUCAUUUCCAUUUCCAGAUGGGCUCCAAAAUCAUGCUUUAGUAGGAUGUUGGUGAGUUUUAUAAAAUAGACUGUUUGCACGUGAGAUCUUAAAGCCCUGCUUGUCACUACAUCGAAUCGUUAACUUCUCAGAGCCUCCUGUGUUUACUACCUAGGGCCUGCUGGUGGCUGAAACCUGCCAGCAUUCCCGUCUGUUCUCUCCAGCACUGACUCCACCCCCACCCGACUGGCUCUGCAAUGCUACGAAGAAAUGCACUGUCUCACACCUCACCUUCCACGUGGUAAGACGACUGUACUUUCACCAUCAAUACCAAGUCUUUCCAAACUAUAUUUACCACCACAAUAAAGGGAAUU
Peromyscus eremicus (cactus mouse) is the source of this 4006-nucleotide RNA transcript. It is a transcript of the gene named tubulin gamma complex component 4, with no coding region annotated. NCBI's taxonomy places the organism in Eukaryota, Metazoa, Chordata, Mammalia, Rodentia, Cricetidae. The transcript is spliced from 22 exons. The record is from RefSeq and is a predicted model, not a curated record.